Quercus robur (English oak) is the source of this 393-nucleotide long non-coding RNA. RefSeq lists it as uncharacterized. The record is from RefSeq and is a predicted model, not a curated record. The transcript is spliced from 3 exons. NCBI's taxonomy places the organism in Eukaryota, Viridiplantae, Streptophyta, Magnoliopsida, Fagales, Fagaceae.
UUGUUCUUUUUUCUUCUAUUUCUUUUAUCCAAGCCUGUCUGUCUCAACUCUCUCAAACACUCCCCUCUCAACUCUCAAACUCUCAUUGGCUGGCCCGUUUUGUAAUUUUAUACUGUCAUUGACCUUUUUAGCCAUCCUCAAAUAGCUACUGCCCAGUUGGGGUUUAAUCCAUAACCAUAAGCGUGGUCUGAUCUGAGAGUGCUGGGUUUUUUUUUUAUUGGAUUUGAGUGAGACUUCCUGUCAGAGUAUGGAAUCUUAUUGAGUUGUAGAAACUGCUGGUUAUGUACAUUCACAGAGCUACACUUGUACAACAUCACCUGGUUUGACUGGUACUAAACAGUCAUCUUUCUGUAACACCUCUGAAACACUAGAAUCAUUGGGAAUGGAUUCUGA